RNAcentral lists this ribosomal RNA (210 nucleotides) under uncultured eukaryote. RNAcentral describes it as "partial 18S ribosomal RNA". It matches the Rfam family "Eukaryotic small subunit ribosomal RNA", at positions 1461 to 1672 of the family's 1831-position model. The record is from RNAcentral.
UCUGUGAUGCCCUUAGAUGUUCUGGGCUGCACGCGCGCUACAAUGAUGCACUUAACAAGUAUUCCCUGGCUUGUCGAGGCUGGGUAAUCUUGUGAGUGUGCAUCGUGACAGGGAUAGAUGAUUGUAAUUAUUCAUCUUAAACGAGGAAUUCCUAGUAAGCGCAAGUCAUUAGCUUGUGCUGAUUAUGUCCCUGCCCUUUGUACACACCGC